AAACGCACCUCACCUCUCUCCUAUCUCAGUCACUAUCUCUUCCAUGCCGGACACUCCCUCGGCGGUGGAGGUUCCCAGAAAUUAAAAUCUCAACCGUCAAACUCUCCCACUAAAUGUUCAGAUUUUGAAUCCACCAUCAAUUUAACCUAACUCGUCUAGAAUCAACCAAACCGAAUCGUUUUUUCCAAGAACCCAAAACCUAGAUUCAUAAAUUAAAUAACGAUUUGAAUGAAUUAGAGCCUCAUAGGAGAAGGCUUUGAUUCCUGAGGUGAAUCUCUACAUACUGGUAAGCGAAAUAACAUAAAAUUGGGAAGAAUCGAGGAACUACCUCGCUGGAGAAGAUGACGAAGAUGGCAACGACACCGGUCUCAAUUUAUCAUCAUAUCUCUUUGCACAAAUAUGGUAACUACAUUGUGUUCCUUACACCAUCUACUUGAAUAUAAGAUGAAACAAAUUAUUACUAUGUAACUGUAUAUUUAUGAAACUUUUAGUAAUACAUUCUUUGACUUUGUAAUUAGUUUAGCGUGUAAUAUUUUUAAAUCAUUUGUAAUAUGGGGUUGUGGAACGACACUAUUUUAUGAACAAUUAUAGAAAAAACUCUUAUUUUG
Molecule: long non-coding RNA, 608 nt
Filed under: Lathyrus oleraceus (garden pea)
Lineage: Eukaryota; Viridiplantae; Streptophyta; Magnoliopsida; Fabales; Fabaceae
Description: Pisum sativum (pea) long non-coding RNA (PSAT_LNC041694)
Source: RNAcentral